AGCGGCGGACGGGUGAGUAACGCGUGGGAAUGUGCCCUUCUCUACGGAAUAGCCACUGGAAACGGUGAGUAAUACCGUAUACGCCCUCAGGGGGAAAGAUUUAUCGGAGAAGGAUCAGCCCGCGUUAGAUUAGGUAGUUGGUGGGGUAACGGCCUACCAAGCCUACGAUCUAUAGCUGGUUUUAGAGGAUGAUCAGCCACACUGGGACUGAGACACGGCCCAGACUCCUACGGGAGGCAGCGGUAGGGAAUCUUGGACCAUGGGGGCAACCCUGAUCCAGCCAUGCCGCGUGAGUGAAGAAGGCCCUAGGGUCGUAAAGCUCUUUCGCCUGUGAUGAUAAUGACAGUAGCAGGUAAAGAAACCCCGGCUAACUCCGUGCCAGCAGCCGCGGUAAUACGGAGGGGGUUAGCGUUGUUCGGAAUUACUGGGCGUAAAGCGCGCGUAGGCGGAUUGGAAAGUUGGGGGUGAAACCCCGGGGCUCAACCCCGGAACUGCCUUCAAAACUCCCAGUCUAGAGUUCGAGAGAGGUGAGUGGAAUUCCGAGUGUAGAGGUGAAAUUCGUAGAUAUUCGGAAGAACACCAGUGGCGAAGGCGGCUCACUGGCUCGAUUACUGACGCUGAGGUGCGAAAGUGUGGGGAGCAAACAGGAUUAGAUACCCUGGUAGUCCACACCGUAAACGAUGAAUGCCAGUCGUCGGAUAGUAUACUAUUCGGUGACACACC
RNAcentral lists this ribosomal RNA (723 nucleotides) under uncultured marine bacterium. Its description in RNAcentral is "bacterial SSU rRNA". It matches the Rfam family "Bacterial small subunit ribosomal RNA", at positions 94 to 852 of the family's 1533-position model. The record is from RNAcentral.